RNAcentral lists this ribosomal RNA (449 nucleotides) under uncultured bacterium. RNAcentral describes it as "bacterial SSU rRNA". It matches the Rfam family "Bacterial small subunit ribosomal RNA", at positions 32 to 506 of the family's 1533-position model. The record is from RNAcentral.
AUCAACGCUGGCGGCGCGCUUAACACAUGCAAGUCGAACGAGAAAGCCCCCUUCGGGGGGUGAGUAAAGUGGCGAACGGGUGAGUAACACGUGGAUUACCUGCCCUUGAGUGGGGAAUAACUCCGGGAAACUGGGGAUAAUACCGCAUACGAUCCUUCGGGAUGAAAGUCUUCGGACGCUCAAGGAGGGGUCCGCGGCCGAUUAGCUAGUUGGCGGGGUAAAAGCCCACCAAGGCAAAGAUCGGUAGCCGGCCUGAGAGGGCGCACGGUCACACUGGCACUGAGACACGGGCCAGACUCCUACGGGAGGCAGCAGUGGGGAAUCUUGGACAAUGGGGGAAACCCUGAUCCAGCGACGCCGCGUGAGUGAUGAAGCCUUUCGGGGUGUAAAGCUCUUUCAGCGGGGACAAUAAUGAUGGUACCCGCACAAGCAGCUGCGGCUAACUACGU